AACUGUNUGACUUGAGUGCAGAAGGGGAGAGUGGAAUUCCAUGUGUAGCGGCGAAAUGCGUAGAUAUAUGGAGGAACACCAGUGGCGAAAGCGGCUCUNUGGUCUGUCACUGACGCUGAGGCUCGAAAGCCUGGGUAGCGAACAGGAUUAGAUACCCUGGUAGUNCACGCCGUAAACGAUGAGUGCUAGGUGUUAGGCCCUUUCCGGGGCUUAGUGCCGGAGCUAACGCAAUAAGCACUCCGCCUGGGGAGUACGACCGCAAGGUUGAAACUCAAAGGAAUUGACGGGGGCCCGCACAAGCGGUGGAGCAUGUGGUUUAAUUCGAAGCAACGCGAAGAACCUUACCAGGUCUUGACAUCCCGAUGCUAUUCUUAGAGAUAGGAAGUUACUUCGGUACAUCGGAGACAGGUGGUGCAUGGUUGUCGUCAGCUCGUGUCGUGAGAUGUUGGGUUAAGUCCCGCAACGAGCGCAACUCUUAUUGUUAGUUGCCAUCAUUAAGUUGGGCACUCUAGCGAGACUGCCGGUAAUAAACCGGAGGAAGGUGGGGAUGACGUCAAAUCAUCAUGCCCCUUAUGACCUGGGCUACACACGUGCUACAAUGGUCGGUACAACGAGUUGCGAGCCGGUGACGGCAAGCUAAUCUCUGAAAGCCGAUCUCAGUUCGGAUUGGAGGCUGCAACUCGCCUCCAUGAAGUCGGAAUCGCUAGUAAUCGCGGAUCAGCACGCCGCGGUGAGUACGUUCCCGGGCCUUGUACGCACCGCCCGUCACACCACGAGAGUUUGUAACACCCGAAGUCGGUGAGGUANCCUUUUAGGG
Molecule: ribosomal RNA, 817 nt
Filed under: uncultured bacterium
Lineage: Bacteria
Description: bacterial SSU rRNA
Rfam family: Bacterial small subunit ribosomal RNA
Source: RNAcentral